RNAcentral lists this non-coding RNA (148 nucleotides) under Chlorocebus sabaeus (green monkey). The record is from Rfam by way of RNAcentral. Lineage: Eukaryota; Metazoa; Chordata; Mammalia; Primates; Cercopithecidae.
GCCGGGUGUGGUGGUGCAUGCCUGUAAUUCCAACUACUCGGGAGGCUGAGGCAGGAGAAUUACUUGAACCUGGGAGGCAGAGGCUGCAGUGAGCUGAGAUCAUGCCACUGCACUCCAGCCUGGGUUACAGAGCGAGACUCUGCCUCAA